This 23-nucleotide non-coding RNA is filed under the name Rattus norvegicus (Norway rat). The record is from RNAcentral. Lineage: Eukaryota; Metazoa; Chordata; Mammalia; Rodentia; Muridae.
UUAGUGAAGAAAAACCUUCACUC